CGGGGCAGUGAUGAAGGUGGGAGGUUUUGGGGAGUGUAUAAAACUCUGUACAAUUGUUGUCUCAUUGCCCUUGUGCCUCUACCCAGAAGAGGACAAGGUGCCGGAUUUUGCAAAAGUCAAUAAAGCUCUAGAAAUUGUUCAAGAUGUCUCCUGUUGAUUCAAAACUGAGAAUUUGUAAUCUCACAAUUGGCGCCCAAACAGGAAUUUGAAGACUCUGCCCUCUGGAGAAGAGGGAGCUGCCUUUAACCUGGAGGCAUGCCACACUGAGUUUAGUGUCUGGGACAGGAGGCUCCUUCUUCUCCAGCAGUGGAUUACUCUUCACGAAAAUGAACCGACAGGGAGAUCUGAACAACCAGGGAGGUGUCACCCGAGCAGGAUAGUCCAACACUGGCACAGCUCAAGUUGUGAUCCAGAUACUGACAUCAGAUUGCUGGACAAUCCUGCUAAAGCCAUGAAGUACAUUGUGACUAUCAGUGAAGAAGGGGAUGCAUCAGAGGAUUCUUUAGC
This 507-nucleotide long non-coding RNA is filed under the name Notechis scutatus (mainland tiger snake). RNAcentral describes it as "lncRNA (ENSNSUG00000002187.1)". The record is from RNAcentral. Lineage: Eukaryota; Metazoa; Chordata; Lepidosauria; Squamata; Elapidae.